CACGGGAGGCAGCAGUGGGGAAUAUUGGACAAUGGGCGAAAGCCUGAUCCAGCCAUGCCGCGUGUGUGAAGAAGGCCUUCGGGUUGUAAAGCACUUUCAGUGGGGAAGAAAGCCUUGGGGCUAAUACCCUCGAGGAAGGACAUCACCCACAGAAGAAGCACCGGCUAACUCCGUGCCAGCAGCCGCGGUAAUACGGAGGGUGCGAGCGUUAAUCGGAAUUACUGGGCGUAAAGCGCGCGUAGGCGGUCUGAUAAGCCGGUUGUGAAAGCCCCGGGCUCAACCUGGGAACGGCAUCCGGAACUGUCAGGCUAGAGUGCAGGAGAGGAAGGUAGAAUUCCCGGUGUAGCGGUGAAAUGCGUAGAGAUCGGGAGGAAUACCAGUGGCGAAGGCGGCCUUCUGGACUGACACUGACGCUGAGGUGCGAAAGCGUGGGUAGCAAACAGGAUUAGAUACCCCGGUAGUC
This 463-nucleotide ribosomal RNA is filed under the name Vreelandella stevensii. Its description in RNAcentral is "partial 16S ribosomal RNA". It matches the Rfam family "Bacterial small subunit ribosomal RNA", at positions 340 to 795 of the family's 1533-position model. The record is from RNAcentral. Lineage: Bacteria; Pseudomonadati; Pseudomonadota; Gammaproteobacteria; Oceanospirillales; Halomonadaceae.